GGGCAAUUAGCUCAGUUGGUCAGAGCGCACGGUUCACAUCCGUGAGGUCACAGGUUCGAGCCCUGUAUUGCCCA
RNAcentral lists this transfer RNA (74 nucleotides) under Anaerolineales bacterium. Its description in RNAcentral is "tRNA-Val". It matches the Rfam family "tRNA". From Rfam's summary of the family: Transfer RNA (tRNA) molecules are approximately 80 nucleotides in length. Their secondary structure includes four short double-helical elements and three loops (D, anti-codon, and T loops). Lineage: Bacteria; Bacillati; Chloroflexota; Anaerolineae; Anaerolineales. The record is from RNAcentral.